GAUGAACGCUGGCGGCGUGCCUAAUACAUGCAAGUCGAGCGAACAGACGAGGAGCUUGCUCCUCUGACGUUAGCGGCGGACGGGUGAGUAACACGUGGAUAACCUACCUAUAAGACUGGGAUAACUUCGGGAAACCGGAGCUAAUACCGGAUAAUAUAUUGAACCGCAUGGUUCAAUAGUGACAGACGGUUUUGCUGUCACUUAUAGAUGGAUCCGCGCCGCAUUAGCUAGUUGGUAAGGUAACGGCUUACCAAGGCAACGAUGCGUAGCCGACCUGAGAGAGGGAUAGGCCACACUCGAAGUGGGAGACGGGCCAGACUCCUACGGGAGGCAGCAGUAGGGUACCUUCCGCGAUGGGCGAAAGCCUGACGGAGCAACGCCGCGUGGGUUAUGAGGGUCUUCGGGUCGUAAAACACUGUUAUUAGGGAAGAACAAAUGUGUAAGUAACUGUGCACGUCUUGACGGUACCUGAUCAGAAAGCCACGGCUAACUACGUG
RNAcentral lists this ribosomal RNA (497 nucleotides) under uncultured bacterium. Its description in RNAcentral is "partial 16S ribosomal RNA". It matches the Rfam family "Bacterial small subunit ribosomal RNA", at positions 28 to 507 of the family's 1533-position model. The record is from RNAcentral.